Lepidothrix coronata (blue-crowned manakin) is the source of this 380-nucleotide long non-coding RNA. RefSeq lists it as uncharacterized. The transcript is spliced from 3 exons. Lineage: Eukaryota; Metazoa; Chordata; Aves; Passeriformes; Pipridae. The record is from RefSeq and is a predicted model, not a curated record.
GAGACAAUGAGGAUGAAAAAGAAAGGAAAAUAACGUUUCUAACAUAGGUCAAAAUAAGUGACAACAAUAAUGCCUUUAUAGAGAGGAUACAGUUCUCUGUGUGUGAGACACUCUUGUUCUCUCUAUAAUAGUUGAACCAUAACUGACACACAUGAAGUUGCAAUGUCCAUCCACUUCUGAGAGAGAUUGAGUAGAGGCAGGAUUGAAGUCCAGUGAAUGAAGAUCUCAGAAAACAGAGCUGGUGAAACAAUGGGAAGAAUAAAUGUCAGCUAUUGGACAUAUGACCACCACACACACAGAAAGCCACAGAUCCAUCAUGAUCCCAAGAGUUUUGUUUCUAAGAAAUCCUUUUCUUCGCUUCCUCACAAAGGAGAUCUUCU